UGGGAUAAUUGUUUGCACCGAGCCUUUUCCAAAAGAUUGUGUGCCAAGAACAAUGGCACGGCGAUGGUCUUGCAAGGCGCCCGCAACAAUUUCAGAAGCAGAGGCUGACCCACCAUUGAUAAGCACAAUAAUAGGUUUACCAUUUGUUAGAUCGCCUACAGUUGCAUUAUCACGUUUGGUAUCAUCUUCGUGGCGGCCACGUGUUGAAACAAUUUCACCUUUAUCCAAAAAGUAAUCAGAAACAGCGAUUGCCUGAUCUAAUAGGCCGCCAGGAUUAUUGCGUAA
RNAcentral lists this non-coding RNA (285 nucleotides) under marine eukaryotic metagenome. The record is from RNAcentral.